AAGUGCGCCUUCCAACUCCUUUACACCUUGGUUAUGAAGAGUUGAUGGCUCAUCCAUAACCAUAUACAUAGGUAUCUCGCAAGCGUAUGACAUCUUGAGCUCCAAAGCUCUCUUCUUCACCCAAAUAGUGUAAGCAACCAAAGCUAUACAGUUGCAUGGACCAAGCUCGGAUCUUCCUUUCUUAUGCAUAUUGUGCCAAGCAUGCACCAUCCUACUCUUCAAAAGUUGGG
Molecule: long non-coding RNA, 230 nt
Filed under: Lathyrus oleraceus (garden pea)
Lineage: Eukaryota; Viridiplantae; Streptophyta; Magnoliopsida; Fabales; Fabaceae
Description: Pisum sativum (pea) long non-coding RNA (PSAT_LNC022132)
Source: RNAcentral